Long non-coding RNA from Macrobrachium nipponense, 1134 nucleotides. RefSeq lists it as uncharacterized. The transcript is spliced from 2 exons. NCBI's taxonomy places the organism in Eukaryota, Metazoa, Arthropoda, Malacostraca, Decapoda, Palaemonidae. The record is from RefSeq and is a predicted model, not a curated record.
CCAUGGAGGUUCUGGUUACAGCCAUAAAGGUGGAAUCCAUGGAGGCUCUGGUUACAGCCAUAAAGGGGGAAUCCACGGAGGCUCUGGUUACAGCCUCAAACCUUUAAGCCAUAAAGGGGGAAUCCAUGGAGGCUCUGGUUACAGCCAUAAAGGGGGAAUUCAUGGAGGCUCUGGUUACAGCCAUAAACCUUUAAGCCAUAAAGGGGGAAUCCAGGGAGGCUCUGGUUACAGCCACAAGGGUGGAAUCCAUGGAGGCUCUGGUUACAGCCUCAAACCUUUAAGCCAUAAAGGGGGAAUCCAUGGAGGCUCUGGUUACAGCCAUAAAGGGGGAAUUCAUGGAGGCUCUGGUUACAGCCUCGAACCUUCAAGUCAUAAAGGUGGAAUCCAUGCAGGCUCUGAUUACAGCUUCACCAGUGGAAUUCAUGGACACGGGCUGUCAUACAGCCAUAGUGUAGGUCUUGGAAAUGGGUUUCCAAACAGUGGACUUGUUGCUAGUUAUGGAAGCUAUGGAAGUUAUAAAAAAUAAAUCUAUGGAAGUUAUAUGAAAUAAAUCUAUGGAAGUUAUAUGAAAUAAAUCUAUGGAAGUUAUAUGAAGUAAAUCUAUGGAAGUUAUAAUAAAUAAAUCUAUGGAAGUUAUAGAAAAUUAAACCAUGGAAGUUAUAAGAAAUAAAUCUAUGAAAGUUAUAUGAAAUAAAUCUAUGGGAGUUAUAGGAAAUAAAUCUAGAGAAGUUAUAACAAAUAAAUGUAUGGGAGUUAUAUGAAAAUAUUCCAUGGAAGUUAUAUGAAAUAAAAUCAUGGAAUUUAUAGGAAAUAAAUCCAUGGAAGUUAUAUGAAAUAUAUCUAUGGAAGUUAUAUGAAAUAAAUCUAUGGAAGUUAUAUGAAAUAAAUAUGGAUGUCAUAGGAAAUAAAUAUAUGGAAGUUAUAUGAAAUAAAUGUAUGGAAGUUGUAGGAAUAAAUCCAAAGAAGUUAUAGUAAAUAAAUUCAUGGAAGUUAUAUAGAAUAAAUCUAUGGACGUUAUAGGAAAUACAUCUCUAGCACUUUACGUGAUGAGAGAUCACAAUUUUUUUCCUCAUAGUGAGGAUGUAUAAACUACUAUGUUGAAUUAUUCAUGCUGUUAAUAAACGUUAAUUACAA